CUAUCACAUACCUGGUCACUUAGCCUGAUUUAUACAUUCGUACACAACUUAUCUUUGCCCGGUGAACCAUUCGAAAUUAAAAAGGAUACUCGGAUAGUCGAAAGACUCGUACAAUGCCAACGUCCCAGACGUGGUCUUACAUGUAAUCACAUAUCGAUGCCAUUGUCCCAGACAGGGUCUUACACGAAUCAAAUACGAUGCCAAUGUCCCAAACAUGGUCUUACACGUAAACACAAGUCGAUGCCGACAUCCCAGACGUG
Molecule: long non-coding RNA, 260 nt
Filed under: Gossypium barbadense (sea-island cotton)
Lineage: Eukaryota; Viridiplantae; Streptophyta; Magnoliopsida; Malvales; Malvaceae
Description: long non-coding RNA (GBAR_LNC016366)
Source: RNAcentral